AUUCGCCCUUAGAGUUUGAUCCUGGCUCAGGACGAACGCUGGCGGCGUGCCUAACACAUGCAAGUCGAGCGGAGACAGUGAGUAGCUUGCUAUGAGCUGUUUUAUCGGCGGACGGGGGAGUAACGCGUGAGCAACCUUUCCCAAACAGGGGAAUAACGCACCGAAAGGUGUACUAAUACACUGUAAGACCACGGGAUCACCUGGUUCUGAGGGAAAAGAUUUAUCGGUUUGGGGUGGGCUCGCGGCCGAUAACGUAGUUGGUGAGGUAACGGCCCGCCGAGACCGGACCCAUCGGUAGCCAAACUGAGAGGGUGAUCUGGACACGUUGAGGACUGACACACGGCCCAGACUCCUACGGGAGAGCACCUAUGGGGAAUAUUGGGCAAUGAAUGAAACUCUGACCCAGCAACGCCGCGUGGAGGAAGAAGGUUUUUGGAUCGUUAACUCCUGUCCUUGGAGACGAGUAGAAGACGGUAUCCAAGGAGGAAGGCCCCGGCUAAUUACGUGCCACCAGCCGCGGUAAUACGUAGGGGGCAAGCGUUUUCCGGAAUAAUUGGGCGUAAAGGGCGCGUAGGCGGCUCGCUAAGUCUGGAGUGAAAGUCCUGCUUCUAAGCGUGGGAAUUGCUUUGGAUACUGUCGGCCUUGAGUGCAGGAGAGGUUAGUGGAAUUCCCAGUGUAGCGGUGAAAUGCGUAGAGAUUGGGAGGAACACCAGUGGCGAAGGCGACUAACUGGACUGUAACUGACGCUGAGGCUCGAAAGCGUGGGGAGCAAACAGGAUUAGAUACCCUGGUAGUCCACACUGUAAACGAUGAAUUGCUAGGUGUUGGGUUCCAAAGGACCUCGGUGCCGUCGCAAACGCAUUAAGUACUCCCCCUGGGGAGUAUGCACGCAAGUGUGAAACUCAAAGGAAUUGACGGGGGCCCGCACAAGCGGUGGAGUAUGUGGUUUAAUUUGAAGCAACGCGAAGAACCUUUCCAGGCCUUGACAUCCCUUGCAGAGGUAUAGAGAUAUAUCCGACGUUACCAAGGAGACAGGUGGUGCAUGGUUGUCGUCAGUCUCGUGUCGUGAGAUGUUGGGUUAAGUCCCUGCAACGAGCGCAACCCUUCGUGAUAUGUCACUAACAUUGAGUUGAGGAUUCAUAUCAGACUCCCGGUGAUAAACCGGAGGAAGGUGGGGAUGACGUCAAUUCUUCAUCCCCCUUAUGGCUUGGGCUCCACACGUACUCCAAUGGCGUCUACAAAGAGCGGCAAGCCUGUGAAGGCAAGCGAAUCUCAUAAAGGACGUCUCAGUUCGGAUUGAAGUCUGCAACCCGCCUUCAUGAAGUUGGAAUCGCUAGUAAUCGCGAAUCAGCAUGUCGCGGUGAAUACGUUCUCGGGCCUUGCACACACCGCCCGUCA
Molecule: ribosomal RNA, 1398 nt
Filed under: uncultured bacterium
Lineage: Bacteria
Description: partial 16S ribosomal RNA
Rfam family: Bacterial small subunit ribosomal RNA
Source: RNAcentral